RNAcentral lists this non-coding RNA (390 nucleotides) under Rhizophagus irregularis DAOM 197198w. RNAcentral's name for it is "Eukaryotic small subunit ribosomal RNA". It matches the Rfam family "Eukaryotic small subunit ribosomal RNA", at positions 639 to 1241 of the family's 1831-position model. Lineage: Eukaryota; Fungi; Glomeromycota; Glomeromycetes; Glomerales; Glomeraceae. The record is from Rfam by way of RNAcentral.
UUUAAAACCCCACUCUUAUAAAUUGAAUCAUUUUAUAUUAUGUAUGUAAUAAAUAAAGAUCACUUUCAACAACGGAUCUCUUGGCUCUCGCAUCGAUGAAGAACGUAGCGAAGUGCGAUAAGUAAUGUGAAAAAGUUAGGGGAUCGAAGACGAUCAGAUACCGUCGUAGUCUUAACCAUAAACUAUGCCGACUAGGGAUCGGAUGAUGUUAAUUUUUUAAUGACUCAUUCGGCGCCUUACGGGAAACCAAAGUGUUUGGGUUCCGGGGGGAGUAUGGUCGCAAGGCUGAAACUUAAAGGAAUUGACGGAAGGGCACCACCAGGGGUGGAGCCUGCGGCUUAAUUUGACUCAACACGGGGAAACUCACCAGGUCCAGACAUAGUAAGGAUU